This 460-nucleotide ribosomal RNA is filed under the name uncultured bacterium. Its description in RNAcentral is "partial 16S ribosomal RNA". It matches the Rfam family "Bacterial small subunit ribosomal RNA", at positions 338 to 795 of the family's 1533-position model. The record is from RNAcentral.
CCUACGGGUGGCAGCAGUGAGGAAUCUUGGGCAAUGGACGAGAGUCUGAACCAGCUAAGUAGCGUGAAGGAUGACUGCCCUAUGGGUUGUAAACUUCUUUUAUAUGGGAAUAAAAUGUUCCAUGUGUGGGAUUUUGUAUGUACCAUAUGAAUAAGGAUCGGCUAACUCCGUGCCAGCAGCCGCGGUAAUACGGAGGAUCCGAGCGUUAUCCGGAUUUAUUGGGUUUAAAGGGAGCGUAGGUGGAUUGUUAAGUCAGUUGUGAAAGUUUGCUGCUCAACCGUAAAAUUGCAGUUGAAACUGGCAGUCUUGAGUACAGUAGAGGUGGGCGGAAUUCGUGGUGUAGCGGUGAAAUGCUUAGAUAUCACGAAGAACUCCGAUUGCGAAGGCAGUUCACUGGACUGCAACUGACACUGAGGCUCGAAAGUGUGGGUAUCAAACAGGAUUAGAUACCCGUGUAGUC